GACGAACGCUGGCGGCGUGCUUAACACAUGCAAGUCGAACGGUAAGGCCCUGCUUUUGUGGGGUGCUCGAGUGGCGAACGGGUGAGUAACACGUGAGUAACCUGCCCUUGACUUUGGGAUAACUUCAGGAAACUGGGGCUAAUACCGGAUAGGAGCUCCUGCUGCAUGGUGGGGGUUGGAAAGUUUCGGCGGUUGGGGAUGGACUCGCGGCUUAUCAGCUUGUUGGUGGGGUAGUGGCUUACCAAGGCUUUGACGGGUAGCCGGCCUGAGAGGGUGACCGGCCACAUUGGGACUGCGAUACGGCCCAGACUCCUACGGGAGGCAGCAGUGGGGAAUAUUGCACAAUGGGCGGAAGCCUGAUGCAGCAACGCCGCGUGCGGGAUGACGGCCUUCGGGUUGUAAACCGCUUUCGCCUGUGACGAAGCGUGAGUGACGGUAAUGGGUAAAGAAGCACCGGCUAACUACGUG
This 468-nucleotide ribosomal RNA is filed under the name uncultured bacterium. RNAcentral describes it as "partial 16S ribosomal RNA". It matches the Rfam family "Bacterial small subunit ribosomal RNA", at positions 28 to 507 of the family's 1533-position model. The record is from RNAcentral.